GCUGGGUAUGGUGGUGUGUACAUAUAGUCCCAGCUACUUGGGAGACUGAGGCUAGAGGAUCACUUGAGCCCAGGAGUUGUGGGCUAUAGUGCACUAUGCUGAUCAAGUGUCUACACGAAGUUGUGCAUCAAUGUGACGACCUUAAAGGAGUGAGGGACUCCCGGGUUGACUAAGGUGGGCUGAACUGUCCCAGGCUGAAAAUAGGGCAGAUCAGAACUCCUAGGCUGAUCAGUAGUGUGAUCACACCUGUAAAUAGCCACUGAACUCCAGCCUGGGCAACAUAAGGAGACUCCGUUUCU
Molecule: signal recognition particle RNA, 299 nt
Filed under: Carlito syrichta (Philippine tarsier)
Lineage: Eukaryota; Metazoa; Chordata; Mammalia; Primates; Tarsiidae
Description: Metazoan signal recognition particle RNA (ENSTSYG00000028813.1)
Rfam family: Metazoan signal recognition particle RNA
About the family: The signal recognition particle (SRP) is a universally conserved ribonucleoprotein.
Source: RNAcentral